Molecule: unclassified non-coding RNA, 608 nt
Filed under: Hevea brasiliensis (rubber tree)
Lineage: Eukaryota; Viridiplantae; Streptophyta; Magnoliopsida; Malpighiales; Euphorbiaceae
Source: RNAcentral
UUGGCUUUGUUUGCUGGGCCACCUGCUAAUAAUGGAGAUGGGUCAUGGGAAGCAUUCCCAUCUAAUGGAGAGCCUCAGGUGACCUCAGCUUGGCAGAACCCAGCCGCUGAACCUGACAAGGCAGAUUGGGAAUUGGCACUGGUUGAAUCGGCCAGCAAUCUAUCGAAGCAAAAGGCAACAUUGGGAGGUGGGUUUGAUCCAUUGUUGUUAAAUGGCAUGUAUGAUCAAGGAAUGGUGAGGCAACAUACUAAUACUACACAAUUGAGCGGAGGUAGUGCUAGCAGUGUGGCAUUGCCAGGGCCAGGGAAGAGUGCUACACCUGUUUUGGCUCUUCCAGCUCCAGAUGGAACAGUUCAGACAGUUAAUCAGGAUCCUUUUGCUGCUUCUUUGAGCAUUCCACCUCCUUCUUAUGUGCAAAUGGCUGAUAUGGAGAAGAAACAACAUUUGCUUGUCCAGGAGCAGCUAGUGUGGCAGCAAUAUGCGAAGGAUGGAAUGCAAGGCCAAUCAAGUUUGGCCAAGAUCAGCGGCACUGGAUACUACACUGCAGCACCAGGGCCUAUGCCAAUGAUGCCUUAUGGAAUGCCACCAGUGAACGGAAUGGGGCCACC